UGGAGCACGGGAGCAUCCCGUGGUGUAAUGGCGAACGGGUGAGUAAUAUAUCGGAACGUGCCCAGUCGUGCGGGGAUAACGCAGCGAAAGCUGUGCUAAUACCUGCAUACGAUCUACGGAUGAAAGCGGGGGAUCGCAAGACCUCGGCGCGAUUGGAGGCGGCCGAUAUCAGAUUAGCUAGUUGGUGGGGUAAAGGCCCACCAAGGCGGCGAAUCUGUAGCUGGUCUGAGAGGACGAUCCAGCCACACUGGAACUGAGACACGGUCCAGACUCCUACGGGAGGCAGCAGUGGGGAAUUUUGGACAAUGGGGGCAACCCUGAUCCAGCAAUGCCGCGUGCAGGAUGAAGGCCUUCGGGUUGUAAAGCUCUUUUGUCAGGGAAGAAACGGUGAGGGCUAAUAUCUCUUGCUAAUGACGGUACCUGAAGAAUAAGCACCGGCUAACUACGUGCCAGCAGCCGCGGUAAUACGUAGGGUGCAAGCGUUAAUCGGAAUUACUGGGCGUAAAGCGUGCGCAGGCGGUCAUACAAGACAGAUGUGAAAUCCCCGGGCUCAAACCUGGGAACUGCAAUUUGUGACUGUAUGACUGGAGUGCAGGCAGAGGGGGAUGGAAUUCAGCGUGUACGCAAGUGAAAUGCGUAAGAAUAGUGCGGAGGGAAACACCGAAUGGCCGAAAGGGCAAUUCCCCUUGGAACUUGGUCACUGACCCGCUCAAUGACAAGAAAGCCGUGGGGCAAGCAAAACAGGAUUACAUACCCCUGGUACUCACAGACCCUAAA
This 777-nucleotide ribosomal RNA is filed under the name uncultured beta proteobacterium. RNAcentral's name for it is "bacterial SSU rRNA". It matches the Rfam family "Bacterial small subunit ribosomal RNA", at positions 67 to 806 of the family's 1533-position model. Lineage: Bacteria; Pseudomonadati; Pseudomonadota; Betaproteobacteria. The record is from RNAcentral.